Molecule: ribosomal RNA, 231 nt
Filed under: uncultured bacterium
Lineage: Bacteria
Description: partial 16S ribosomal RNA
Rfam family: Bacterial small subunit ribosomal RNA
Source: RNAcentral
CGGACGGGUGAGUAAUGUCUGGGAAACUGCCUGAUGGAGGGGGAUAACUACUGGAAACGGUAGCUAAUACCGCAUAACGUCGCAAGACCAAAGAGGGGGACCUUCGGGCCUCUUGCCAUCGGAUGUGCCCAGAUGGGAUUGGCUAGUAGGUGGGGUAACGGCUCACCUAGGCGACGAUCCCUAGCUGGUCUGAGAGGAUGCCAGCCACACUGGAACUGAGACACGGUCCAG